GAUAGAGGCCUACCAUGGUUUUAACGGGUAACGGGGAAUUAGGGUUCGAUUCCGGAGAGGGAGCCUGAGAAACGGCUACCACAUCCAAGGAAGGCAGCAGGCGCGCAAAUUACCCAAUCCCGACACGGGGAGGUAGUGACAAUAAAUAACAAUACGGGGCUCAUUUGGGUCUCGUAAUUGGAAUGAGUACAAUUUAAAUCUCUUAACGAGGAACAAUUGGAGGGCAAGUCUGGUGCCAGCAGCCGCGGUAAUUCCAGCUCCAAUAGCGUAUAUUAAAGUUGUUGCAGUUAAAAAGCUCGUAGUUGAACUUCGGGGUUUACCCAUUGGUCAGGCUUAAUUGUCUGUACUGGUGAGAUAAAUCUCUACCUUCUGAGGAACUUUCAUGUCAUUGAUUUGGUGUGAUUGGAAAUCAGGACUGUUACUUUGAAAAAAUUAGAGUGUUUAAAGCAGGCUAACGUCUGAAUACAUUAGCAUGGAAUAAUGAAAUAGGACGGAUUGAUUCUAUUUCGUUGGUUUCUAGGAUCACCGUAAUGAUUAAUAGGGAUAGUUGGGGGCAUUAGUAUUCAAUUGUCAGAGGUGAAAUUCUUGGAUUUAUUGAAGACUAACUACUGCGAAAGCAUUUGCCAAGGAUGUUUUCAUUAAUCAAGAACGAAGGUUAGGGGAUCGAAGACGAUCAGAUACCGUCGUAGUCUUAACCAUAAACUAUGCCGACUAGGGAUCGGACGAA
RNAcentral lists this ribosomal RNA (727 nucleotides) under uncultured fungus. Its description in RNAcentral is "SSU rRNA". It matches the Rfam family "Eukaryotic small subunit ribosomal RNA", at positions 332 to 1061 of the family's 1831-position model. Lineage: Eukaryota; Fungi. The record is from RNAcentral.